UUCUGGCGGCUUAUCGCUGUGGAACCACCUGUUCCCAUUUCGAACACAGAAGUGAAACGCAGUUGAGCCGAUGAUACUUACAAAGGGAAAGUAGGUAGCCGUCAGAAU
This 108-nucleotide ribosomal RNA is filed under the name Candidatus Tagabacteria bacterium RIFCSPLOWO2_01_FULL_42_9. Lineage: Bacteria; Candidatus Tagaibacteriota. The record is from RNAcentral.